CUUGACUCCUCGGUUCCUCCAGUUUAAAGAUCUGAAGCUGAAAAGUUCUCAGUAAUUCUGAGUUUUUUUCUCCACUUCCUCAAACCAACAUUGUUCAGUAACGUUGUUCUUAUUCAGCAGGAGAGUCUCUGAGAUGACGCUCGGCUCAAACAGCGUAUCCCCCGGUGAUCUACUCAAUCUCUGUCCUCCCAUUGGCUGUAUCAGGUGUCAAUCAUAGCAAACAUGAACCCCCUAAUAACUUUUAAAAAUGGAGCUGUACAGAAAAAAGAGGACUUGAGCACAAACCAGUCUGACAGUAACUACAUGUCAACAUCACAACCAGGGGGGAGAAACAUUUAUAUUCUGUCUCAUUCAUUUAUAAAGUUUGUCCACAGCUCCAUAAGGAGGCGGGGUUUAGGACCUAAACUCCGCCUCACCUGUCCAGGUUGAUAUGAACUCUGUAAGUAUCAGGACAGGUGAGUGGGAGGAGCUGAUGAAGCUUCUUCGUCUGAUCACAGGAACCGACCAAAGAAAUAUAAAUGAUAGAAGAAUGAAGGUCGACCUCCCUCUGAGAGAUUAUCGAUUUGAUCAGAUUAUUGAUUUGAUCAGAUUAUUGAUUUGAUCAGAUUAUUGAUUUGAUCAGAUUAUCGAUUUGAUCAGAUUAUCGAUUUGAUCAGAUUAUCAGACAAACAUAUUUGUAGAAUUUUGUUAUUCAGGGUCGAUGUUUCACACGUGAUGGAAAACUUCCUCCAUGAAACCGAGGUCUGGAGUUCAUCAGAUCAGUCCGGUCAGACUUUAUUUAGAACCAGAACCAGAACCCUGGUCCAGAGCUGCAGAGGUGGUUCUGGUUCUUUUCUUUAACUUCACAGGAACACAGAGAAACUGGAGCAGAUGAACCGAUCAUGAUGUUCAGGAGUCAGUGGAGAGCUCGCUGUCAGGAUCAGAGUUUUUAUGUUUUUGGUUUUUAAGUUAGAAAAACUUUCAAAAUUAAACUUUGAUCUGUUUAUAGUGCAGUGAUCAGACAGCAGGGGGCGCCACAGCCUUUAUUAUCACACCACUGCAUGUCCUCCAUCCUGUCUUCACCUGAAAUCACCUGACCUUCAAAAUAAAACACCUUUUAACCUUCAAAAUAAAACACCUGAUAACCUUCAAAAUAAAACACACUGAACACACUUUUAGGAGCUCUUUUUGUCAUUUUUUCCUGUUUCCUGUUUUAUUUUGAAACUCAGAUUUGUCUCUCUGACUUCCUGUUUCUUUGAUCACUCUCACCUGUCUCAGACUUCCUGUCCUCCUCAGACAGGUGGUUUUGGACCCUGAUGUUGGUCUUGCUGUCCCCUUUUCCCUCAGUCUGGACCAGUCCAGUCUGGUCUGGUUCUGACCCAUGUUUCUGGUUCUGACCCAUGUUUCUGGUUCUGACCCGUGUCUCUGGUUCUGACCCGUUUGAAGAUGAA
Non-coding RNA from Xyrichtys novacula (pearly razorfish), 1430 nucleotides. NCBI's taxonomy places the organism in Eukaryota, Metazoa, Chordata, Actinopteri, Labriformes, Labridae. The record is from the annotation of a GenBank genome assembly.